This is a non-coding RNA of Notechis scutatus (mainland tiger snake), 886 nucleotides long. Lineage: Eukaryota; Metazoa; Chordata; Lepidosauria; Squamata; Elapidae. The record is from RefSeq and is a predicted model, not a curated record.
UGAGAUCUUGAGACCCUUGGCAGGGAGGGGCUGGAAUGAUCAGGGUUCUCCCCCAGGAAAGAGAGACCAAAGGGCCUGGUCUAGAAGCCCUGGCUUGGUGGGGCUCCUUCUGGGGAGGUUCUUUUAUCUCACUCUCUCUUUCUUCUGUUUUCUUGUCACAGUCAACCUCAAGCAGUCCCAAAAUAUUACAUUCAUUUAUACUUUUCUGUAGUCCCCUCUUUUUAAAGACUUCCGGGGUUCUUGUUGUGUUGGUAAUCUUUUAUUCCAUUUCUUUUCUUUUUCACAUAUUUAUACGACCAGUAAUUUUCCAUAAGAACAUAAAAGAGGAAAUAUUUUUAACCAUUAGGUGGUUCUCUCUAUCACUUUCUUUUCAAAGUUCUUUUGUUUUUCAUUCUCUUUUCCAUAGUACUAACCAUAAUUUUUGUCCAUUCCAGAAAAGUCCAGCACUUUCUGGGGAGGUUCUUGAGGUGGUGAUUGGGUGUCAGCUGAACAGGAGAUGGAAAUGGGAGAGGGUCCCUAGAAAGAGAUGGAUUUUAGGGGAAGGCUGAUCUAUCUUUAUUCAAUUUUUCACAGAGUUCUGUGAACUGCCUGCUGACUCCGGACCAUGUAGAGGCAUCUUGCGUGCCUUCUACUACCACCCAGUUCAUCGUACAUGCCUAGAGUUUAUUUAUGGUGGAUGCUAUGGGAAUGCUAACAAUUUUAAGACCAUAGAUGAAUGCAAACGCACCUGUGCUGCAUGACCAAUGAGGAGACCCUCCUGGAUUGGAUCUACAGUUCCAACUUGACCCAAAGACCCUGCUUCUGCCCUGGACCACCCUGGAGACCCUCCUCCAAACCCCACCCUGGGCUCGUUCCUUUUUCUCUGCAAUAAAGCUUUGGUUCCAGU